Non-coding RNA from Gossypium raimondii (Peruvian cotton), 123 nucleotides. The record is from Rfam. Lineage: Eukaryota; Viridiplantae; Streptophyta; Magnoliopsida; Malvales; Malvaceae.
UGUUAAAAAAUUCAUUCAUUUUUACUGUUAAAAACUGAUGUGGCUGACGAAAUAACUAAAUAGAUACAUGUCUGACAUAUAGAGAUUUGUUUUUAAUAGUAAAAAUGAAUGGAAUUUUUAACA